RNAcentral lists this ribosomal RNA (496 nucleotides) under uncultured bacterium. RNAcentral describes it as "partial 16S ribosomal RNA". It matches the Rfam family "Bacterial small subunit ribosomal RNA", at positions 28 to 507 of the family's 1533-position model. The record is from RNAcentral.
GAUGAACGCUGGCGGCGUGCCUAAUACGUGCAAGUCGAGCGAACGGACGAGAAGCUUGCUUCUCUGAUGUUAGCGGCGGACGGGUGAGUAACACGUGGAUAACCUACCUAUAAGACUGGGAUAACUUCGGGAAACCGGAUCUAAUACCGGAUGAUAUUUGAACCGCAUGGUUCAAAAGUGAAAGACGGUCUUGCUGUCACUUAUAGAUGGAUCCGCGCUGCAUUAGCUAGUUGGUAAGGUAACGGCUUACCAAGGCAACGAUGCAUAGCCGACCUGAGAGGGUGAUCGGCCACACUGGAACUGAGACACGGUCCAGACUCCUACGGGAGGCAGCAGUAGGGAAUCUUCCGCAAUGGGCGAAAGCCUGACGGAGCAACGCCGCGUGAGUGAUGAAGGUCUUCGGAUCGUAAAACUCUGUUAUUAGGGAAGAACAUAUGUGUAAGUAACUGUGCACAUCUUGACGGUACCUAAUCAGAAAGCCACGGCUAACUACGUG